This 499-nucleotide ribosomal RNA is filed under the name uncultured bacterium. RNAcentral describes it as "partial 16S ribosomal RNA". It matches the Rfam family "Bacterial small subunit ribosomal RNA", at positions 899 to 1397 of the family's 1533-position model. The record is from RNAcentral.
ACUCAAAGGAAUUGACGGGGGCCCGCACAAGCGGUGGAGCAUGUGGUUUAAUUCGACGCAACGCGAAGAACCUUACCUGGGCUCGAACGGCUUCUCAACGACGGCAGAAACGCCGUUAUCCCGCAAGGGAGUGGAGUCGAGGUGCUGCAUGGCUGUCGUCAGCUCGUGUCGUGAGAUGUUGGGUUAAGUCCCGCAACGAGCGCAACCCUUGUCCUGUGUUGCUACGCCGAAAGGCAGCACUCUCAGGAGACCGCCAGCGAUAAGUUGGAGGAAGGUGGGGAUGACGUCAAGUCAUCAUGGCCUUUAUGUCCAGGGCUACACACGUGCUACAAUGGGCGGUACAAACCGCUGCAAACCCGCGAGGGGGAGCAAAUCGGAGAAAACCGUUCUCAGUUCGGAUUGCAGGCUGCAACCCGCCUGCAUGAAGCUGGAAUCGCUAGUAAUGGCAUAUCAGAACGAUGCCGUGAAUACGUUCCCGGGCCUUGUACACACCGCCCGU